RNAcentral lists this ribosomal RNA (253 nucleotides) under uncultured bacterium. RNAcentral describes it as "partial 16S ribosomal RNA". It matches the Rfam family "Bacterial small subunit ribosomal RNA", at positions 524 to 776 of the family's 1533-position model. The record is from RNAcentral.
UACAGAGGGCUCAAGCGUUGUUCGGAUUCAUUGGGCGUAAAGGGCGCGUAGGCGGCGGGGUAAGUCGGGUGUGAAAUCUCAGAGCUCAACUCUGAAACUGCACUCGAUACUGCUCUGCUUGAGGACUGGAGAGGAGACUGGAAUUCACGGUGUAGCAGUGAAAUGCGUAGAUAUCGUGAGGAAGACCAGUGGCGAAGGCGGGUCUCUGGACAGUUCCUGACGCUGAGGCGCGAAGGCCAGGGGAGCAAACAGG